GUCUUCAUGGUGUAGUGGUCAGCACGCUCGGCGCGUAUUCGAGAAGUUCGUGGUUCAAAUCCUGGCGAGGGCA
Molecule: transfer RNA, 73 nt
Filed under: Stegodyphus mimosarum
Lineage: Eukaryota; Metazoa; Arthropoda; Arachnida; Araneae; Eresidae
Rfam family: tRNA
About the family: Transfer RNA (tRNA) molecules are approximately 80 nucleotides in length. Their secondary structure includes four short double-helical elements and three loops (D, anti-codon, and T loops).
Source: Rfam by way of RNAcentral